AAAGAAGAAAUAAUGAGUGUAAGAAACAGUUAGGCAAUAAGGAAUCCACUCGAAAGGUAAGUUUCCAUGAAAUUCUCUUUUAUCUUUUACUAGAACAAGAAAAUUCAAAAAAAAACCGGUCAGUUAAUAUCCUCGAACUUUUUUUUUCUUUAGUCAGCAUUAGGGUUUUAAACCCUAAACUGAACUUUUUCCUUUAAUCAGCAUUAGGGUUUUAAACCCUAAACUGAACUCUUUCCAUUUAGUUAGCAUUAGGGUUUUAAACCCUAAACUGAACUUUUCCCUUUAGUCAGCAUUAGGGUUUUAAACCCUAAACUGAACUCUUUUCCUUUAGCCAGCAUUAGGGUUUUUAAACCCUAACUUUAGUCAGCAUUAGGGUU
This 377-nucleotide long non-coding RNA is filed under the name Nicotiana tabacum (common tobacco). RNAcentral's name for it is "long non-coding RNA (NTAB_LNC008743)". The record is from RNAcentral. Lineage: Eukaryota; Viridiplantae; Streptophyta; Magnoliopsida; Solanales; Solanaceae.